AUCUUGACAAUAUCUUUCAGCUUGAGUAUCUUGACAAUACCUGGCUCCUCUCUAAAGUAUUGGAGGAAUACGGAAAUGAUGACUUCAAAGUGGAAAAAAAAACUGUUUGCUGGUCCUGCUACUAGAAGAAGAAUCCUUUACAGACCUGAGUAUGAAGUGUCACACCGUUUCUCCUGCCUCGGGGAUGGUGGAGUGAUGUGUUGAGCUGGUGUACUAUCAGUAUCAGCUGGCCCCUUCUGGCCAUGAAAGUGAGCUGGAAAUGAACUGCUGCUGUCUCAAGCCAGUGAAAUAUCAGGGAUAUUCAUUUCCAUAGCACAAAGUCACAUAUCCUGAUUCAUUAGUCCAGUGUGGAAGCAUCAUGAUGCCAACAAUUUACAGUGCAUGAGAACUGCUUAUAAUUUGCCUUAAAUUUUUAAAUUUUAAUUUGUAGUACAUAAUGAUUACAUUCAUUGUAGGGAGUUGGUACAUACAUAAUAUAUCUUAAUUCUUUUUACGUACCCUCUCCCAUCUCCCUCCAUCUCGAUCCCUUUCCCAUUUUCAAAAGUUG
This 547-nucleotide long non-coding RNA is filed under the name Cavia porcellus (domestic guinea pig). Its description in RNAcentral is "lncRNA (ENSCPOG00000037043.1)". Lineage: Eukaryota; Metazoa; Chordata; Mammalia; Rodentia; Caviidae. The record is from RNAcentral.